RNAcentral lists this ribosomal RNA (491 nucleotides) under uncultured bacterium. Its description in RNAcentral is "partial 16S ribosomal RNA". It matches the Rfam family "Bacterial small subunit ribosomal RNA", at positions 30 to 506 of the family's 1533-position model. The record is from RNAcentral.
AGUGAACGCUGGCGGCAUGCCUAACACAUGCAAGUCGAACGGCAGCACAGUAAGAGCCUGCUCUUACGGGUGGCGAGUGGCGGACGGGGGAGGAAUAAAUCGGAAUCUACUUUUUCGUGGGGGAUAACGAAGGGAAACUUACGCUAAUACCGCAUACGACCUACGGGUGGAAGCAGGGGAUCUUCGGACCUGGCGCGAUUGAAUGAGCCGAUGUCGGAUCAGCUAGUUGGCGGGGUAAAGGCCAACCAAGGCGACGAUCCGUAGCUGGUCUGCGAGGAUGAUCGGCAACACUGGAAUUGGAACACGGUCCAGCCCAGAAGGGGAGGCGGCAGUGGGGAGUAUUGGAUAGUGGGCGCAGGCGUAGCCUGGCGAAACCGCGCGGGGGAAGAAGGCCUUGGGGUCGUAAAGCCAUUUUGUUGGGAAAGAAAAGCAGCAGGUUAAUUCGCCGCUGUUCUGACGGUACCGAAAGAAUAGACACGGGCUACUUCGGU